This 73-nucleotide transfer RNA is filed under the name Stegodyphus mimosarum. It matches the Rfam family "tRNA". From Rfam's summary of the family: Transfer RNA (tRNA) molecules are approximately 80 nucleotides in length. Their secondary structure includes four short double-helical elements and three loops (D, anti-codon, and T loops). Lineage: Eukaryota; Metazoa; Arthropoda; Arachnida; Araneae; Eresidae. The record is from Rfam by way of RNAcentral.
GCCUUCGUGGUGUAGUGGUCAGCACGCUCGACGCGUAACCGAGAGUUCCGUGGUUCGAUUCCCGGCCAAGGCG